CCUUUCUGAAAGCAGGCUGAGAAAGACAUGGAGAACAGUCAGAGAGUAGCAUUCUUUCACUACCUCUACUUCAGUUGCUGUCUCCGGGGUCUUGCUUUUGAGUUUCUGCCCUGACUGCCCUCAAUGAUGGACCAUGAUUGGGAUACUUAAGCCAAAUAAACCUUUCUUCCUCAGGUUGGUUUAGUCAAUCUGGUGGUUGAAUAUGUUUGGCCCAGAGAGUGGCACUAUUGGGAGAUAUGGCCUUGUUGGAGUAGAUGUGGCCUUGUUGGAGGAACUGUAUCACUGUGGGUGUGAGAUUUAAGACCCUUGUCCUAGCUGCCUGGAAGUCAUUCUUCUCCUGUUUGACUUUGAAAUGAGAAGUAGAACUCUCAGCUUCUCCUGCAUCAUACCUGCCUGGGCACUGCCGUGCAGCUGACCUGCCUUGAUGACAAUGGACUGAACCUCUGAGCCUACAGAAGAGAAACCAACAUGUGGCUGGCAGCCUGUGUUAGAGGAAGCGGGAAGCACAUCCAGAGGGAAGACAAUGGUACAACAGUAAAGAUGAAGGAAAAAAACAUCAUCGGAAGGAGCUGGGAAUCGGGUUUCCUGUGAUCUCUGCAGCUGCCAUGGCCUCCAGUUCAGUCACUCACGCUGGUCUGGGAUAGUUGAACUCUAGAAGAGAAUAACACAAAUGUGUGGUAUUGGAAA
Non-coding RNA from Rattus norvegicus (Norway rat), 687 nucleotides. The record is from RefSeq and is a predicted model, not a curated record. NCBI's taxonomy places the organism in Eukaryota, Metazoa, Chordata, Mammalia, Rodentia, Muridae.